AGCUCCAAUAGCGUAUACUAAAGUUGUUGCAGUUAAAAAGCUCGUAGUUGAAUUUCUGGUCUCGAGACGCGGCCAGCCUCAAGGGGCGAUGCUGUGGAUCGGGACCAUCCUCGAGGAGAACAUAUCUGUCAUUGAGUUGAUGGGUAUGGGACCCUCGUCAUUUACUGUGAGCAAAAUAGAGUGUUCAAAGCAGGCUUACGCCGUUGAAUACAUUAGCAUGGAAUAAUAAGAUAGGACCUUGGUCUAUUUUGUUGGUUAUACUCCGAGGUAAUGAUUAAUAGGGACAGUUGGGGGUAUUCGUAUUCAAUUGUCAGAGGUGAAAUUCUUGGAUUUAUGGAAGACGAACUACUGCGAAAGCAUUUACCAAGGAUGUUUUCA
Molecule: ribosomal RNA, 378 nt
Filed under: Poterioochromonas malhamensis
Lineage: Eukaryota; Synurophyceae; Ochromonadales; Ochromonadaceae
Also listed under: 1 other name
Description: partial small subunit ribosomal RNA
Rfam family: Eukaryotic small subunit ribosomal RNA
Source: RNAcentral